CACGCUCACACACACACACACACACACACUUGAACAAAGCUCGUUGAUCCCAUGCAUCCCCGAGAUCGUCCAUCAGCAGAAGCCUGUUGAGGCGUGCUAACACUACACUGCAGAGGGAAAGUGCGUAUGAUUGUGAAAACCUCAGCGUUGAGAUCGGCUUAAGGACUUAUUGUGUGAGCUGCAACCCUUUUUGUGUGGGACUAGAGGCUACUCGUUCUACUACUUCGAAGAAGAAACCCAUCACUCACCAUCAUAAAUGAAUUGCGCAGAUGUCUCAGUUCUAUUCGGAGUCCUCAUAUGAAUGUCUCCGGAACCUCCUUCUCGGCCAUUUUUUUUUUUGUUUGGAGGCUUUAUUUCACCGCGAUGCUUUGAAUCUGCCUACGAGAGAGCUGCUCCACUUUCAGCUGCAUCCAGGAAUAGCAGAACUCUACGUUCUACAUGAAACGAUACCCAGGGCUAUUGCUUGGUCAACAACAAAUACGACCUCUUUUCGAAAGCUCCGCGUAACAACUCUGUUCCUAUGCACUUCUGUAUCGCACGUUUGGCUCAUCCCACCGUAGACACUACCGCGUUCGGUAGGUGUGAACGAACAUUUUGACUGCUGUCCUAGCAUUUUCCAUCUUAGUAUAUCGUAGUGGCUCAUUCGAGAAGGCCGUAAAUGACGACAGCGACAUAAAAUGAAAGCGAGAAAAGAGGCAAGGUAGACAUUCAACUGGGUGACACUGAGAUACCGACUGCUCGCUCACUGUGAGCCCAAUAGCUACUGCGUUUCCCACAGCGGCGUCUGACAUCGUUACGGCUCCACUGAUCACCUUUACGAACAAGCUUAGUGGCCAACUGUUAACAGCUAGUUUGCGGCAAUGUACGCCUACUUUGUACUCAUUUGAGAGCCAUCUUCGCUUUCUGGUACAGGAUCUCCAAUCCUACAACCAUGAGAACCCUCUACAAUCUUAUCGCUGCGGCCAGCAAACUGCCUUAUGGGGCACGCACUUGUACUACGCUUCCGAUAGGCUUUCAGCUGAAUGAUGGCGAAAAUCGAGCGAAGGUCUUCAAUAAAUUUAGAAUACUAGAAAAAUAUCAUAGAAUACUGAGAAAUUAACCUGAAUAUUCUAAACAAAAGGUCUUCUAUCAUAAGGAUAAUUUGUUUUUCUUGUCUAGUCUAGCCCACGAUUGUAUAUGCAUUGUAGGAGAUUGCGUUUGAGAGCUAGGGAAUUAAUUGUAGACCGAAAUACCAAAAGGGAUCAUCAUCAUCAAUAUGUUAUUUCCUAAGUGUUGUUUUGAGAUUUCGGCAUAUAAUCACUUUUGUUAAUGUCUAUCAAAUGUUUGGUUUCUAGAAAUGUUUAAGUUAUUGCACCCACUGCAUCACAGCUAUAUAAUUAACUUACAAGUUAGAUGUCCCAUUUAUAUCCAGCAAUUCGUCCGUACACCUAACCUACUUUAUACUUAUGUGCGGUGGAAAAUACUGUUUAGUUUGCAGUAGUCCUAGUCUAUUUCGUAAUAUCGUAAUAGGUUGUGCAUUUUUUUUAGUGGUA
Molecule: long non-coding RNA, 1532 nt
Organism: Varroa destructor (honeybee mite)
Lineage: Eukaryota; Metazoa; Arthropoda; Arachnida; Mesostigmata; Varroidae
Source: RefSeq, a predicted model, not a curated record